RNAcentral lists this long non-coding RNA (464 nucleotides) under Pan troglodytes (chimpanzee). Its description in RNAcentral is "long non-coding RNA NONPTRT011578". The record is from RNAcentral. Lineage: Eukaryota; Metazoa; Chordata; Mammalia; Primates; Hominidae.
UGCCAGGGGACGGGUCUCGGUGCAGUGACUGCCAUUAGCUUGGGGCCGCAGAAAGUUUCUCCCCUUUCUCGGGCUCCUGCCAGGCCCUUGGCUUUCAGAGACAGGCCCGAUUUCUAGAUAACAUUUAAGUUUGCAGAAAAGGGGAUGCCAGGUCACGGUGGUCACGGCUGUGGGAUGCAGCCUCUGAGAUUUGUAUUAAUUUUUGUGAGCCGGGGAAAGGCCUUGCUGCUUUCUCCGCCAGGACUGAUGUGUCUUCCCAAAAUGAAAGUGCCUGAUGCUGCUGCUUUCUCCCCUGAUGGGAAGUGGAAGCCAUGAUUCUGCAGUCCUGGCCAUAAAGCUGUGAAUUGUACUAGCUGGCACAGCCAGUACUGCCCUACUGAGUUCAGUGAACUGUCCUUCUGAUCUACACUGAGAGAGCCUGGCUGUGGUGCAAUGCUCACAGUGAAGCCGUCUGCAUAGCUGAG